Molecule: long non-coding RNA, 405 nt
Organism: Pezoporus flaviventris
Lineage: Eukaryota; Metazoa; Chordata; Aves; Psittaciformes; Psittacidae
Exons: 3
Source: RefSeq, a predicted model, not a curated record
UCCUCCUCCUCGGGGAGCUGGGGUCCGGCAGGAGAAAGCUCUUCGAUAUUGGAGAGGCUUUGUCCUUCAUCGUGGUCAAUGGAGAGUCCUUGUCCGUCAUGGUCAAUGGAGAGCCCUUGUUCUUCAUCAUGGUCAAUGGAGAGCCUUCAUGUUUUAUCAUGGUCAAUGAAGAGUCCUCGUCCAUCAUCAUUGCCACUGGAGAGUCCUUGUCCUUCAUGCUGGUCACCAGAGAUACCCAACUCUUCCUCAUGGUCAAUGAAGAGCCCUUAGCCUUCAUCAUCAUCAAGGAAGAGCCGUCAUCCUUCAUGGUCAAUGAAGAGCCUUCCUCCUUCAUCACGGUCAAUGAAGAGCCCUUAGCCUUCAUCAUCAUCAAGGAAGAGCCCUUGUCCUUCAUCAUGGUCAAUG